GACGAACGCUGGCGGCGCGCUUAACACAUGCAAGUCGAACGGAAAGGCCCUGCUUUUGUGGGGUGCUCGAGUGGCGAACGGGUGAGUAACACGUGAGUAACCUGCCAUUGACUUUGGGAUAACUUCAGGAAACUGGGGCUAAUACCGGAUAGGAGCUCCUGCUGCAUGGUGGGGGUUGGAAAGUUUCGGCGGUUGGGGAUGGACUCGCGGCUUAUCAGCUUGUUGGUGGGGUAGUGGCUUACCAAGGCUGUGACGGGUAGCCGGCCUGAGAGGGUGACCGGCCACAUUGGGACUGAGAUACGGCCCAGACUCCUACGGGAGGCAGCAGUGGGGAAUAUUGCACAAUGGGCGGAAGCCUGAUGCAGCAACGCCGCGUGCGGGAUGACGGCCUUCGGGUUGUAAACCGCUUUCGCCUGUGACGAAGCGUGAGUGACGGUAAUGGGUAAAGAAGCACCGGCUAACUACGUG
RNAcentral lists this ribosomal RNA (468 nucleotides) under uncultured bacterium. RNAcentral's name for it is "partial 16S ribosomal RNA". It matches the Rfam family "Bacterial small subunit ribosomal RNA", at positions 28 to 507 of the family's 1533-position model. The record is from RNAcentral.